This 303-nucleotide ribosomal RNA is filed under the name uncultured bacterium. RNAcentral's name for it is "partial 16S ribosomal RNA". It matches the Rfam family "Bacterial small subunit ribosomal RNA", at positions 507 to 807 of the family's 1533-position model. The record is from RNAcentral.
AGCAGUCGCCGCGGUAAUACAGAGGAUGCAAGCGUUAUCCGGAAUGAUUGGGCGUAAAGCGUCUGUAGGUGGCUUUUCAAGUCUACCGUCAAAUCCCAGGGCUCAACACUAGACAGGCGGUGGAAACUACUAAGCUGCAGUAUGGUAGGGUCAGAGGGAACUUCCAGUGGAGCGGUGAAUUGCAUUGAGAUUGGAAGGAACACUAACGAUGAAAGCACUCUGCUGGGUGGACAUUGACACUGAGAGACGAAAUCUAUGGGAGCAAAUGGGAUUAGAUACCCCCGUAGUCCCUGUCUCUUAUAC